RNAcentral lists this ribosomal RNA (411 nucleotides) under uncultured Segetibacter sp. Its description in RNAcentral is "bacterial SSU rRNA". It matches the Rfam family "Bacterial small subunit ribosomal RNA", at positions 355 to 762 of the family's 1533-position model. Lineage: Bacteria; Pseudomonadati; Bacteroidota; Chitinophagia; Chitinophagales; Chitinophagaceae. The record is from RNAcentral.
UAAGGAAUAUUGGUCAAUGGAGGCAACUCUGAACCAGCCAUGCCGCGUGAAGGAUGAAGGUCCUCUGGAUUGUAAACUUCUUUUAUGUGGGAAGAAAUACAUUCUUUACAGAGUGUUUGACGGUACCAUAGGAAUAAGCACCGGCUAACUCCGUGCCAGCAGCCGCGGUAAUACGGAGGGUGCGAGCGUUAUCCGGAUUCACUGGGUUUAAAGGGUGCGUAGGUGGGAAUGUAAGUCAGUGGUGAAAUCUCUGAGCUUAACUCAGAAACUGCCAUUGAUACUAUAUUUCCUGAAUUUUCCGGAGGUCAGCGGAAUAUGUCAUGUAGCGGUGAAAUGCUUAGAUAUGACAUAGAACACCAAUUGCGAAGGCAGCUGGCUACAGGGAUAUUGACACUGAGGCACGAAAAGCGU